GCUGCAGAACAAAAGGUGUUUGUCAACAGUCAGGCAGUCUUUCUGAAAAAGGAGUUCUUUAGUGAAAAAAUUAAUGCCUGUAAAAUUGAACUUGAUGAAGUUCAUAAGGUGGAAGAACCGACACACACAGAAUUGAAUUUGAUUAGAGAAUUGAAUUCGGAGCCAAUAGAGGCACCAUUAAGGAGAUCCAGUAGAAUACCACAUUAAACAAAUAGAUACUAUGA
RNAcentral lists this long non-coding RNA (224 nucleotides) under Elaeis guineensis (African oil palm). RNAcentral describes it as "long non-coding RNA (EGUI_LNC043297)". Lineage: Eukaryota; Viridiplantae; Streptophyta; Magnoliopsida; Arecales; Arecaceae. The record is from RNAcentral.